CUGUGCUCUCCCUCUGUAGCAGGUCAGAGAACACCAUAUCAGGGCUGGAUCUUUUCCCAUACCUGAGAGAGAGAAUAAUACAUCUUCAUCAUAUGCUGCAUCUUCCCAUCAGCAGAUGAAGAACUCACCGCUGUCGAGUGAUUUGGUUGAUGUAGUGUCUGAGUGCAGAGAAGUACUUGGCGAAUUCCUCGACAGGCGCAUCUUCUAAGGGAAUGACGGGUUUGGAUGGAUACGUGUCCACCAGAGUGGACAUGCAUACCAGCAAGUACACGGCCAGCAUACCCAGAACCAUCGCUGCAUUAGGGCGCAUCUAAACCACACAGAAGCGCAGAGAAACAAACUAGAAAACAAAUGCACUGUGACUGUGCUCCUGUCCUUAUUUCAUAAUGGAGCCAAUAAAAUGCUAUUAUUUUUUA
Long non-coding RNA from Salvelinus fontinalis (brook trout), 416 nucleotides. RefSeq lists it as uncharacterized. The record is from RefSeq and is a predicted model, not a curated record. Lineage: Eukaryota; Metazoa; Chordata; Actinopteri; Salmoniformes; Salmonidae. The transcript is spliced from 2 exons.